RNAcentral lists this ribosomal RNA (497 nucleotides) under uncultured bacterium. RNAcentral's name for it is "partial 16S ribosomal RNA". It matches the Rfam family "Bacterial small subunit ribosomal RNA", at positions 28 to 507 of the family's 1533-position model. The record is from RNAcentral.
GAUGAACGCUGGCGGCGUGCCUAAUACAUGCAAGUCGAGCGAACAGACGAGGAGCUUGCUCCUCUGACGUUAGCGGCGGACGGGUGAGUAACACGUGGAUAACCUACCUAUAAGACUGGGAUAACUUCGGGAAACCGGAGCUAAUACCGGAUAAUAUAUUGAACCGCAUGGUUCAAUAGUGAAAGACGGUUUUGCUGUCACUUAUAGAUGGAUCCGCGCCGCAUUAGCUAGUUGGUAAGGUAACGGCUUACCAAGGCAACGAUGCGUAGCCGACCUGAGAGGGUGAUCGGCCACACUCGAACUGAGACACGGUCCAGACUCCUACGGGAGGCAGCAGUAGGGAAUCUUCCGCAAUGGGCGAAAGCCUGACGGAGCAACGCCGCGUGAGUGAUGAAGGUCUUCGGAUCGUAAAACUCUGUUAUUAGGGAAGAACAAAUGUGUAAGUAACUAUGCACGUCUUGACGGUACCUAAUCAGAAAGCCACGGCUAACUACGUG